Molecule: long non-coding RNA, 335 nt
Organism: Ananas comosus (pineapple)
Lineage: Eukaryota; Viridiplantae; Streptophyta; Magnoliopsida; Poales; Bromeliaceae
Exons: 3
Source: RefSeq, a predicted model, not a curated record
ACGUAGGUGCUGCUUCUUUUGCUAUCGCUUUUGUCACUUAUGUUGCUUCAAAACCAAGUCAAGUUGUUCAUUUUAUAUAGCUUUUGCUACAACCGAAAGUACAUCCAGAGGGAGUCUGUUAAGUCUUGUGUGUUGGCAAGUUUCGUGAAAUGAGUCGGAGCCUUGAAGAAUCGGUGGGUAUCGUCGAAGACCGAAGAAUUCAAGAUUUCGAAGAGAUUGGAAAAUAACUCACAACGUGAAUCACGAUGCUCAGGGGGAGAGCAUAGAUGAACUAGUGUUGAUCGAGAAUAAAGUAGAAGAAGGAAUGAAAUCAAAGGAGAAGAGGAUGAAUUCAA